AGACCCGAAACCCGGUGAUCUAGCCAUGGGCAGGUUGAAGGUUGGGUAACACUAACUGGAGGACCGAACCGACUAAUGUUGAAAAAUUAGCGGAUGACCUGUGGCUGGGGGUGAAAGGCCAAUCAAACCGGGAGAUAGCUGGUUCUCCCCGAAAGCUAUUUAGGUAGCGCCUCGUGAAUUCAUCUCCGGGGGUAGAGCACUGUUUCGGCUAGGGGGCCAUCCCGGCUUACCAACCCGAUGCAAACUGCGAAUACCGGAGAAUGUUAUCACGGGAGACACACGGCGGGUGCUAACGUCCGUCGUGAAGAGGGAAACAACCCAGACCGCCAGCUAAGGUCCCAAAGUCAUGGUUAAGUGGGAAACGAUGUGGGAAGGCCCAGACAGCCAGGAUGUUGGCUUAGAAGCAGCCAUCAUUUAAAGAAAGCGUAAUAGCUCACUGGUCGAGUCGGCCUGCGCGGAAGAUGUAACGGGGCUAAACCAUGCACCGAAGCUGCGGCAGCGAACGUAUCACCCAAGACAACUUUACGGAGUUGGCGAUUGACGGAGCGAAGCGACGUCAAAGCGUUCAUUAAAGUCGAGUUGGCUUAGGGAUACGUUCGUUGGGUAGGGGAGCGUUCUGUAAGCCUGUGAAGGUGUGUCGUGAGGCAUGCUGGAGGUAUCAGA
Molecule: ribosomal RNA, 663 nt
Filed under: Salmonella enterica
Lineage: Bacteria; Pseudomonadati; Pseudomonadota; Gammaproteobacteria; Enterobacterales; Enterobacteriaceae
Description: partial 23S ribosomal RNA
Rfam family: Bacterial large subunit ribosomal RNA
Source: RNAcentral